AUUGAACGCUGGCGGCAGGCCUAACACAUGCAAGUCGAGCGGAUGAAGGGAGCUUGCUCCUGGAUUCAGCGGCGGACGGGUGAGUAAUGCCUAGGAAUCUGCCUGUAGUGGGGGAUAACGUCCGGAAACGGGCGCUAAUACCGCAUACGUCCUGAGGGAGAAAGUGGGGGAUCUUCGGACCUCACGCUAUCAGAUGGGCCUAGGUCGGAUUAGCUAGUUGGUGGGGUAAAGGCCUACCAAGGCGACGAUCCGUAACUGGUCUGAGAGGAUGAUCAGUCACACUGGAACUGAGACACGGUCCAGACUCCUACGGGAGGCAGCAGUGGGGAAUAUUGGACAAUGGGCGAAAGCCUGAUCCAGCCAUGCCGCGUGUGUGAAGAAGGUCUUCGGAUUGUAAAGCACUUUAAGUUGGGAGGAAGGGCAGUAAGUUAAUACCUUGCUGUUUUGACGUUACCAACAGAAUAAGCACCGGCUAACUUCGUG
RNAcentral lists this ribosomal RNA (483 nucleotides) under uncultured bacterium. RNAcentral's name for it is "partial 16S ribosomal RNA". It matches the Rfam family "Bacterial small subunit ribosomal RNA", at positions 30 to 507 of the family's 1533-position model. The record is from RNAcentral.